CGUUCGGGUUUUCCCGAAGUUGUCUGGGGUUCCAUGACUAGGCUAGCGUUUGCAAUCAAAAAAUCAUGAGUUUGUCCCAUCUAUGUGUUCUAUUGUUAGUGGUGGUACCUUUAAACAUAAAUGGUCAAUUUCAUGAGUAUUUAUUUAUUUAUUAUAAUGAUAUUUGAUGGUAUUUAUAAAAAUUUAUAAACGAUGCCAGCUAGCAAUUGGGUGUAGCUACUUUUAUGGCUCCCUCAGUCGCUUCCCGGGAAACCAAAGCUUUUGGGCUCCGGGGGAAGUAUGGUUGCAAAGCUGAAACUUAAAGGAAUUGACGGAGGGGCACCACCAGGAGUGGAGCCUGCGGCUUAAAUUGACUCAACACGGGAAAACUUACCAGGUCCGAACAUAAGUGUGUAAGACAGAUUGAUAGCUCUUUCUCGAAUCUAUGGGUGGUGUGAAAUGGCCGUUCUUAGUUCCUAGAGGAAGUAAAAGUCGUAACAAGGUUUCCGUAGGUGAACCUGCGGAUGGAUCAUUA
This 514-nucleotide non-coding RNA is filed under the name Drosophila willistoni. RNAcentral describes it as "Microsporidia small subunit ribosomal RNA". It matches the Rfam family "Eukaryotic small subunit ribosomal RNA", at positions 626 to 1372 of the family's 1831-position model. The record is from Rfam by way of RNAcentral. Lineage: Eukaryota; Metazoa; Arthropoda; Insecta; Diptera; Drosophilidae.